RNAcentral lists this unclassified non-coding RNA (419 nucleotides) under Hevea brasiliensis (rubber tree). The record is from RNAcentral. Lineage: Eukaryota; Viridiplantae; Streptophyta; Magnoliopsida; Malpighiales; Euphorbiaceae.
UGUUCAUGUGGAGACACAAGGGACUCCGUCCAGUGAGCUUGUAAUGGUAAUUGAAAAGUGCACUGAGGAAGACACAAUCCCUAAUUCAGGAGAAGCAACUGGUAGUUCGUAUCUACCAGAUUCAAAAACUUUGCUUCCACCUUCAGUUCCUGUUGCAAAUUCAAUUGUCAUAGAAACUGAAUCAAAUGAAAUAUCCUCUGACUGUAAACUUGGUGUUAAGUCACCAAAUACUGACCAAUCUGGGACAGAUUUGCCUGAUUUUCCAAUAGUUAAAUCUGAUGUUUCUUCACAGACGGUGCAUGAUAAUUUACUUGCAUUUUCUUCUGAAGGUUGUCUUAUGAGAGAGUUUUAUUAUGAAGAUCCCAAUAUAUGUGUACAUACUUCAGAUAUGCCACAUCUGGAAAAGAACGACUCUGAUG